This 87-nucleotide transfer RNA is filed under the name Candidatus Falkowbacteria bacterium CG11_big_fil_rev_8_21_14_0_20_39_10. RNAcentral's name for it is "tRNA-Leu". It matches the Rfam family "tRNA". From Rfam's summary of the family: Transfer RNA (tRNA) molecules are approximately 80 nucleotides in length. Their secondary structure includes four short double-helical elements and three loops (D, anti-codon, and T loops). The record is from RNAcentral. Lineage: Bacteria; Candidatus Falkowiibacteriota.
GCCGAAGUGGCGGAACUGGUAGACGCGCACGACUCAAAAUCGUGUGGACGCAAGUCCAUGAGAGUUCGAUUCUCUCCUUCGGCACAA